Tupaia belangeri chinensis (Chinese tree shrew) is the source of this 207-nucleotide long non-coding RNA. RefSeq lists it as uncharacterized. The record is from RefSeq and is a predicted model, not a curated record. Lineage: Eukaryota; Metazoa; Chordata; Mammalia; Scandentia; Tupaiidae. The transcript is spliced from 3 exons.
CACCAGGCUCUUCCUGGCAACCUUUUACCGGUUUCCUAAGAAAGACCUAUAGAAACAGGGACAGUCAUACAUAAGGAUAGCUGAACUCUAGACCUCUACUGUUUGGUAAACCUGCCGUAGAGAGUUGACUGCCUCUAACACUGGACUGAGGAGUAUCUGGGGCCAAAGGAAUUAUGUUUCCUGAUGGGACAAAUGAGGAAGGAAGAC